This 253-nucleotide ribosomal RNA is filed under the name uncultured bacterium. Its description in RNAcentral is "partial 16S ribosomal RNA". It matches the Rfam family "Bacterial small subunit ribosomal RNA", at positions 524 to 777 of the family's 1533-position model. The record is from RNAcentral.
GACGAGGGGUCCAAGCGUUGUUCGGAAUCAUUGGGCGUAAAGCGGGUGUAGGCGGCUCUAUAAGUCAGGAGUGAAAUCCCCGAGCUUAACUUGGGAAGUGCUUUUGAUACUGCAGAGCUUGAAUGUGGGAGAGGUUAGUGGAAUUCCAAGUGUAGUGGUGAAUACGUAGAUAUUUGGAGGAACACCGGUGGCGAAGGCGGCUAACUGGCCCAACAUUGACGCUGAGACCCGAAAGCAUGGGGAUCAAACAGGG